AAAAUGCCUGUACCAUAACCGACACAGGUGGGUAGGUAGAGUAUACUAAGGGGCGCGAGAUAACUCUCUCUAAGGAACUCGGCAAAAUGACUCCGUAACUUCGGGAGAAGGAGUGCCUUAUUUAUAAGGUUGCAAUAACAAGAUCCAAGCAACUGUUUAUCAAAAACACAGGUCUCCGCUAAGUCGUAAGACGAUGUAUGGGGGCUGACGCCUGCCCAGUGCCAGAAGGUUAAAGAAGUUGGUUAGUGUAUGCGAAGCUGAUGACUGAAGCCCUGGUGAACGGCGGCCGUAACGAUAACGGUCCUAAGGUAGCGAAAUUCCUUGUCGGGUAAGUUCCGACCCGCACGAAAGGCGUAAUGAUUUGGAUACUGUCUCGGAGAGAGGCUCGGUGAAAUAGACUUGUCUGUGAAGAUGCGGACUACCUGCACCAGGACAGAAAGACCCUAUGAAGCUUUACUGUAACUUGAAAUUGGAAUUGGACUUUGCUUGCGCAGUAUAGGUGGGAAGCGUUGAAGAUAUUCUUGCGGGAGUAUUGGAGCUAUCAGUGAGAUACCACUCUUGUAAUGUUAGAUUUCUAACUUUGAACCAUAAUCUGGUCAAAGAACAGUUUCAGGUGGGCAGUUUGACUGGGGCGGUCGCCUCCCAAAUGGUAACGGAGGCGUACAAAGGUUUCCUCUGAACGGAUAGAAAUCGUAUCUAGAGUGUAAAGGCAUAAGGAAGCUUGACUGUGAGACCUACAAGUCGAGCAGGGACGAAAGUCGGUCUUAGUGAUCUGACGGUACUGAGUGGAAAGGCCGUCACUCUACGGAUAAAAGUUACUCUAGGAUAACAGGCUGAUCUCCCCCAAGAGUUCACAUCGACGGGGAGGUUUGGCACCUCGAUGUCGGCUCAUCGCAUCCUGGGGCGGUAGUACGUCCCAAGGGUUGGGCUGUUCGCCCAUGAAAGCGGUACGCGAGCUGGGUUCAGAACGUCGUGAGACAGUUCGGUCCAUAUCCGGUGUAGGCGUUAGAAUAUUGAGAGGAGCCUUCUUUAGUACGAGAGGACCGAGAAGGACACACCGCUGGUGUACCAGUUAUCGUGCCAACGGUAAACGCUGGGUAGCUAUGUGUGGAGUGGAUAACCGCUGAAAGCAUCUAAGUGGGAAGCCCACCUCAAGAUGAGUAUUCUCAUCACUAUAAGUGAGUAAGGUCACGGUAAGACUAACCGUUUGAUAGGCAUUAAGUGUAAAUGUAGUAAUGCAUGUGCUGAGAUGUCCUAACAGACCGAGGAC
RNAcentral lists this ribosomal RNA (1270 nucleotides) under metagenome. RNAcentral describes it as "bacterial LSU rRNA". It matches the Rfam family "Bacterial large subunit ribosomal RNA", at positions 1635 to 2925 of the family's 2925-position model. The record is from RNAcentral.